RNAcentral lists this ribosomal RNA (492 nucleotides) under uncultured bacterium. Its description in RNAcentral is "partial 16S ribosomal RNA". It matches the Rfam family "Bacterial small subunit ribosomal RNA", at positions 29 to 507 of the family's 1533-position model. The record is from RNAcentral.
AGUGAACGCUGGCGGUAGGCCUAACACAUGCAAGUCGAACGGCAGCACAGUAAGAGCUUGCUCUUACGGGUGGCGAGUGGCGGACGGGUGAGGAAUACAUCGGAAUCUACUUUUUCGUGGGGGAUAACGUAGGGAAACUUACGCUAAUACCGCAUACGACCUACGGGUGAAAGUAGGGGAUCUUCGGACCUUGCGCGAUUGAAUGAGCCGAUGUUGGAUUAGCUAGUUGGCGGGGUAAAGGCCCACCAAGGCGACGAUCCGUAGCUGGUCUGAGAGGAUGAUCAGCCACACUGGAACUGAGACACGGUCCAGACUCCUACGGGAGGCAGCAGUGGGGAAUAUUGGACAAUGGGCGCAAGCCUGAUCCAGCCAUACCGCGUGGGUGAAGAAGGCCUUCGGGUUGUAAAGCCCUUUUGUUGGGAAAGAAAAGCAGCAGGUUAAUACCCCGCUGUUCUGACGGUACCCAAAGAAUAAGCACCGGCUAACUUCGUG